This is a non-coding RNA of Gorilla gorilla gorilla (western lowland gorilla), 148 nucleotides long. It matches the Rfam family "Metazoan signal recognition particle RNA". From Rfam's summary of the family: The signal recognition particle (SRP) is a universally conserved ribonucleoprotein. It is involved in the co-translational targeting of proteins to membranes. The eukaryotic SRP consists of a 300-nucleotide 7S RNA and six proteins: SRPs 72, 68, 54, 19, 14, and 9. The record is from Rfam. NCBI's taxonomy places the organism in Eukaryota, Metazoa, Chordata, Mammalia, Primates, Hominidae.
GCCAGGUGUGGUGGUGCACACCUGUGGUCCCAGCUACUCAGGAGGCUGAGGCAGGAGGAUCACUUGAGCCUGGGAGGCGAAGGUUGCAGUGAGCGGUGAUUGUGCCACUGCACUCCAGCCUGGGCAACAGAGUGAAACCCUGUCUCAA